Molecule: ribosomal RNA, 92 nt
Filed under: Chromobacterium haemolyticum
Lineage: Bacteria; Pseudomonadati; Pseudomonadota; Betaproteobacteria; Neisseriales; Chromobacteriaceae
Source: RNAcentral
UCUGGUGGCCAUAGCGAGGUGGUCCCACGCCUUCCCAUCCCGAACAGGACCGUGAAACGCCUUAGCGCCGAUGAUAGUGUGGCAUUCGCCAU